GUGGAAUUCCAUGUGUAGCGGUGAAAUGCGUAGAUAUAUGGAGGACACCCGUGGCGAAGGCGGCUCUUUGGUCCGUAACUGACGCUGAGGCUCGAAAGCGUGGGGAGCAAACAGGAUUAGAUACCCUGGUAGUCCACGCCGUAAACGAUGAGUGCUAAGUGUUGGAGGGUUUCCGCCCUUCAGUGCUGCAGCUAACGCAUUAAGCACUCCGCCUGGGGAGUACGACCGCAAGGUUGAAACUCAAAGGAAUUGACGGGGGCCCGCACAAGCGGUGGAGCAUGUGGUUUAAUUUGAAGCAACGCGAAGAACCUUACCAGGUCUUGACAUCCUUUGACCCCUUUAGAGAUAGAGCUUUCCCUUUGGGGGCAAAAUGACAGGUGGUGCAUGGUUGUUGUCAGCUUGUGUUGUGAGAUGUUGGGUUAAGUCCCGCAACGAGGGCAACCCUUAUUGUUAGUUGCCAUCAUUUAGUUGGGCACUUUAGCAAGACUGCCGGUGACAAACCGGAGGAAGGUGGGGAAGAAGUCAAAUCAUCAUGCCCCUUAUGACCUGGGGUACACACGUGGUACAAUGGGAAGUACAACGAGUUGGGAAGUCGCGAGGGUAAGCUAAUUUUUUAAAGCUUUUUUCAGUUUGGAUUGCAGGGUGCAAAUUGCCUGCAUGAAGCCGGAAUCGCUAGUAAUUGCGGAUCAGCCCGCCGCGGUGAAUACGUUCCCGGGCCUUGUACACCCCGCCCGUCACACCCCGAGAGUUUGUAACC
This 757-nucleotide ribosomal RNA is filed under the name Enterococcus lactis. RNAcentral's name for it is "bacterial SSU rRNA". It matches the Rfam family "Bacterial small subunit ribosomal RNA", at positions 661 to 1419 of the family's 1533-position model. The record is from RNAcentral. Lineage: Bacteria; Bacillati; Bacillota; Bacilli; Lactobacillales; Enterococcaceae.